RNAcentral lists this ribosomal RNA (2297 nucleotides) under Epitrimerus sp. S130 1. RNAcentral describes it as "partial small subunit ribosomal RNA". It matches the Rfam family "Eukaryotic small subunit ribosomal RNA". Lineage: Eukaryota; Metazoa; Arthropoda; Arachnida; Trombidiformes; Eriophyidae. The record is from RNAcentral.
UGUAAAGUUCAAGCUCCGAUUAUGAGGGCGAAACCGCGAAUGGCUCAUUAAAUCAGUCAUAAUCUACUUGAUUGUUUCAAGUUUAUAUGGAUAACUGUGGUAAUUCUAGAGCUAAUACAUGCACAAAGAGGACGACUCUCCAGCAAUGGGGAGAAGUUCUGCGUUUAUUAGACUAAGACCAAUGAGGCUCCGCAAGGGGCCUCUCAAUCUAAGGUGACUCUGAGUAAAUAAUGGGUGAAAGCCCAUGUUGCUGACCUGACAUACCAAAAGGCCCUAAAAAAGCCUGUCAGGCAAAUCAAUCGAGUGUCUGCUCUAUCAACUGUGGAUGGUAGGGUAAUUGCCUACCAUGGUGAUGACGGGUAACGGGGAGUUAGGGCUCGACUCCGGAGAACAAGCCUGAGAAACGGCUAGUAGGACUAAGGUCUGCAGCAGGCGCGAAACUUACACAAUGCUAGAUUACGAAAUGACAUAGCGAUGUAGUGAAGAAAAAUAACGAUGUACUUACAUUUAAACAUGUUAGUACAAUUGGAAUGAGACGACUCUAAACCAGUCAGUCGAGUAACAAAUGGAGGGCAAGUCUGGUGCCAGCAGCCGCGGUAAUUCCAGCUCCAUUAGCAUACAUUAAAGUUGUUGCGGUUAAAAAGCUCGUAGUUGAAUUUUGGACGGGCUCUAUUGGGGUGCAACCGUUAAGGUUUAUAUUAAGUUGGUUCGCCCAUUUUUUAUCAAACUGGUUGUAUUUCCCCUAUAGGAACCCGUUGUUUCGUCACUUAAUCGAGUGCGAAGCGGGCCGGUACUAUCGAAAACCUCCGGGUUUUCAAGUAACGGCAUGUUUACCUUGAGAAAAUUAGAGUGCUCACAGCAGGCAGUUGGGGUGUAAAAGCUCCUUUAUGCUUGAAUAAUGUUGCAUGGAAUAAUAGAAUACGGCCUCGGUUCUAUUCUGUUGGUCUUAUAGAACAACAAAAAAGUUGAUUAAAGCGAUCAAAAGUCCUUUUUGAGUGUGGCUUUGUGAUAUUUAAGUAAAUCAAAUCAUUCUGGUAUUGUUGUCUGGGGCCUUAAAAUCUCAGUACCUUGCUAGUUUUGAAUCUUGGUCCUCAAAUUCACCUAGUCAUUUAAAGCACUCUUAAUGUGGCUAGCUUUCUAAUCAACUGAGGCAAUGGUUAAAAGAAAUAGUCGCGGCGGCAUCAGUACUGCAUCGUGAGAGGUGAAAUUCUUAGACCGAUGCAAGACUAACUGAAGCGAAAGCGUUUGCCGAGGAUAUUUUCAUUAAUCAAGAACGAAAGUUAGAGGUUCGAAGGCGAUCAGAUACCGCCCUAGUUCUAACCAUAAACGUUGCCAACUAGCAAUUGGGUUGCGAUUCCUUUAAUCGAAGCCUAAAAAACUUCGAUCAUUAUGAUCCACCCAGCGGCUCUCGUAGGGAAACCAAAGUGUUUGGGUUCCGGGGGAAGUAUGAUUGCAAAGUUGAAACUUAAAGGAAUUGACGGAAGGGCACCACCAGGAGUGGAGCCUGCGGCUUAAUUUGACUCAACACGGGGAAACUUACUAGAUUAGAACUCUGGAAUGAUUGACAGAUUGAUAGCUCUUUCUUGAUUCAGAGGAUGGUGGUGCAUGGCCGUUCUUGAUUCGUAUUCCGAAACGUCUGCUUAAUUGCGAUAACGAGUGAGACCUCACCCAACUAACUAGUCGUUUGGUGCGCUGUGGGACGCAAAAGUCUGUGUAAGUUUAAGGUUGUAAUUAGUAGGGUAAAACUUGCUGGUUGCAGCUACUUGCAUUAGAUGUCCUCUGCUCGCCAGCGGACUUCUUAGAGGGAUAAACGGUGUUUUAGCCGUAAGAAACGAGGCAAUAACAGGUCUGUGAUGCCCUUAGAUAUUCUAGGCCGCACGCGUGCUACAAUGGCGUGUGCAGAAAGCUUGUUCGAGGUUUGUCCAGAGAGAACUGGUCGUUUGGUUGGUAUUUGGGAGCAAUUCUAGGUGCUGAUCGGCGGAGAAGUGACUUUGGUUAUCAAGCCGAGAGAAACCGUAGUCGAAAGAUUACGGCAAUCAUAAAUACACGCCGUGAUUUGGGAUUGGGGAUUGCAAUUGUUGCCCAUGAACGAGGAAUUCCCAGUAAGCGCAAUUCAUCAUAUUGCGUUGAUUACGUCCCUGCCCUUUGUACACACCGCCCGUCGCUACUACCGAUUGGAAGUUUUAGUGAGGCAUCUGGACCUGCUAACCAAGAGGGGGGCAACUCUCUCAGGUCGGCGGGGAAGUUUGUCGAACUCAAAUUUCUAGAGGAAGUAAAAGUCGUAACAAGGUUUCCGU